Molecule: ribosomal RNA, 513 nt
Filed under: uncultured bacterium
Lineage: Bacteria
Description: bacterial SSU rRNA
Rfam family: Bacterial small subunit ribosomal RNA
Source: RNAcentral
CUUAGCAGAGAUGCUUUGGUGCCUUCGGGAACUCUGAGACAGGUGCUGCAUGGCUGUCGUCAGCUCGUGUUGUGAAAUGUUGGGUUAAGUCCCGCAACGAGCGCAACCCUUAUCCUUUGUUGCCAGCGGUCCGGCCGGGAACUCAAAGGAGACUGCCAGUGAUAAACUGGAGGAAGGUGGGGAUGACGUCAAGUCAUCAUGGCCCUUACGAGUAGGGCUACACACGUGCUACAAUGGCGCAUACAAAGAGAAGCGACCUCGCGAGAGCAAGCGGACCUCAUAAAGUGCGUCGUAGUCCGGAUUGGAGUCUGCAACUCGACUCCAUGAAGUCGGAAUCGCUAGUAAUCGUAGAUCAGAAUGCUACGGUGAAUACGUUCCCGGGCCUUGUACACACCGCCCGUCACACCAUGGGAGUGGGUUGCAAAAGAAGUAGGUAGCUUAACCUUCGGGAGGGCGCUUACCACUUUGUGAUUCAUGACUGGGGUGAAGUCGUAACAAGGUAGGCGUAGACGU